RNAcentral lists this ribosomal RNA (497 nucleotides) under uncultured bacterium. Its description in RNAcentral is "partial 16S ribosomal RNA". It matches the Rfam family "Bacterial small subunit ribosomal RNA", at positions 28 to 507 of the family's 1533-position model. The record is from RNAcentral.
GAUGAACGCUGGCGGCGUGCCUAAUACAUGCAAGUCGAGCGAACAGACGAGGAGCUUGCUCCUCUGACGUUAGCGACGGACGGGUGAGUAACACGUGGAUAACCUACCUAUAAGACUGGGAUAACUUCGGGAAACCGGAGCUAAUACCGGAUAAUAUAUUGAACCGCAUGGUUCAAUAGUGAAAGACGGUUUUGCUGUCACUUAUAGAUGGAUCCGCGCCGCAUUAGCUAGUUGGUAAGGUAACGGCUUACCAAGGCAACGAUGCGUAGCCGACCUGAGAGGGUGAUCGGCCACACUGGAACUGAGACACGGUCCAGACUCCUACGGGAGGCAGCAGUAGGGAAUCUUCCGCAAUGGGCGAAAGCCUGACGGAGCAACGCCGCGUGAGUGAUGAAGGUCUUCGGAUCGUAAAACUCUGUUAUUAGGGAAGAACAAAUGUGUAAGUAACUAUGCACGUCUUGACGGUACCUAAUCAGAAAGCCACGGCUAACUACGUG